Long non-coding RNA from Exaiptasia diaphana, 528 nucleotides. RefSeq lists it as uncharacterized. Lineage: Eukaryota; Metazoa; Cnidaria; Anthozoa; Actiniaria; Aiptasiidae. The record is from RefSeq and is a predicted model, not a curated record. The transcript is spliced from 3 exons.
AAUGUGGGCUAUUAGUUGCUUAGAAUGAAAGCCUUAUAUGUAUGUAAUAUAUUUUGUUUCAUUACAGGUGCAACAACGACUGCUAUGGGACCUAAUGCAUCUACAACAAUGACAACUGCUACACCAGAAGUAACAACUACAGCAGGGUCAAGUGUCCUCACACCAAUGGUUCUUUUUGUUCUUGCAUGUGCUUUCCUUGGAUUAUUCCACUAAAUGUUGCGUAUACAUACCCCAAGUAGUAAUGGGUUUAUUAGAAUAAGUGCUUGUAUCUUAUUAGAUAGUGUCGUUUACUCUUUGUCMAUUUUUGUGCCUGUACAAAAUCAAGUUCUGUAAAAUUCAAUUGUCUUGAUUUUUAUAUACAGUACAUGUCCGUGUGAGUUUUCUCCUUAGCCAGAUGUUCAUUUAGAAACAUUGGAAUUGUUGCUAUAAUUUACAUAUGGAGUGUAACACAUUCUGUGUUAUUGAAUUGUAUUUUUACUUUCUGUGGUAAUAGCUUUAAUAAACUCUAAAAAAAAACUUUCAUAAAAA